This 416-nucleotide ribosomal RNA is filed under the name uncultured bacterium. RNAcentral describes it as "bacterial SSU rRNA". It matches the Rfam family "Bacterial small subunit ribosomal RNA", at positions 50 to 449 of the family's 1533-position model. The record is from RNAcentral.
UAGGCAUGCAAGUCGAACGAGUAAAGCCCCCUUCGGGGGGUGAGUAAAGUGGCGAAAGGGUGAGUAAUGCGUAGAUAACCUACCCUCGAGCCCGGGAUAACAGUCCGAAAGGGCUGCUAAUACCGGAUGGUGCGCGGGCGGCCUCGGCCGCUCGAGCUAAAGGUGGGGACCUUCGGGCCUGCCGAUCGAGGAGGGGUCUACGUCCUAUUAGCUUGUUGGUGGGGUAACGGCCCACCAAGGUGACGAUGGGUAGCCGGCCUGAGAGGGUGUCCGGCCACACUGGGACUGANACACUGCCCAGACUCCUACGGGAGGCUGCAGUCGAGAAUCUUCCGCAAUGGGCGAAAGCCUGACGGAGCGACGCCGCGUGGACGAUGAAGGCCUUCGGGUUGUAAAGUCCUUUCGCGCAAGAGGAA